This 986-nucleotide ribosomal RNA is filed under the name Acinetobacter calcoaceticus. RNAcentral describes it as "bacterial SSU rRNA". It matches the Rfam family "Bacterial small subunit ribosomal RNA", at positions 532 to 1533 of the family's 1533-position model. The record is from RNAcentral. Lineage: Bacteria; Pseudomonadati; Pseudomonadota; Gammaproteobacteria; Moraxellales; Moraxellaceae.
GGGGGAACGGUUAUCGGGAUUUCUGGGCGUAAGCGCGCGUAGGUGGCUAAUUAAGUCAAAUGUGAAAUCCCCGAGCUUAACUUGGGAAUUGCAUUCGAUACUGGUUAGCUAGAGUAUGGGAGAGGAUGGUAGAAUUCCAGGUGUAGCGGUGAAAUGCGUAGAGAUCUGGAGGAAUACCGAUGGCGAAGGCAGCCAUCUGGCCUAAUACUGACACUGAGGUGCGAAAGCAUGGGGAGCAAACAGGAUUAGAUACCCUGGUAGUCCAUGCCGUAAACGAUGUCUACUAGCCGUUGGGGCCCUUGAGGCUUUAGUGGCGCAGCUAACGCGAUAAGUAGACCGCCUGGGGAGUACGGUCGCAAGACUAAAACUCAAAUGAAUUGACGGGGGCCCGCACAAGCGGUGGAGCAUGUGGUUUAAUUCGAUGCAACGCGAAGAACCUUACCUGGCCUUGACAUACAGAGAACUUUCCAGAGAUGGAUUGGUGCCUUCGGGAACUCUGAUACAGGUGCUGCAUGGCUGUCGUCAGCUCGUGUCGUGAGAUGUUGGGUUAAGUCCCGCAACGAGCGCAACCCUUUUCCUUAUUUGCCAGCACUUCGGGUGGGAACUUUAAGGAUACUGCCAGUGACAAACUGGAGGAAGGCGGGGACGACGUCAAGUCAUCAUGGCCCUUACGGCCAGGGCUACACACGUGCUACAAUGGUCGGUACAAAGGGUUGCUACUGCGCGAGCAGAUGCUAAUCUCAAAAAGCCGAUCGUAGUCCGGAUCGCAGUCUGCAACUCGACUGCGUGAAGUCGGAAUCGCUAGUAAUCGCGGAUCAGAAUGCCGCGGUGAAUACGUUCCCGGGCCUUGUACACACCGCCCGUCACACCAUGGGAGUUUGUUGCACCAGAAGUAGGUAGUCUAACCUUAGGGAGGACGCUUACCACGGUGUGGCCGAUGACUGGGGUGAAUCGUACAGGGGAACCACUCAUAAAAGGAGGGGGGG